GGUUGUGGCCCAGUGGUAGAGCACUCACCUCUCAUGUGUGAAGCCCUGGGUUCAAUCCCCAGCACCA
This 67-nucleotide transfer RNA is filed under the name Urocitellus parryii (Arctic ground squirrel). Its description in RNAcentral is "Spermophilus parryii (Arctic ground squirrel) tRNA". It matches the Rfam family "tRNA". From Rfam's summary of the family: Transfer RNA (tRNA) molecules are approximately 80 nucleotides in length. Their secondary structure includes four short double-helical elements and three loops (D, anti-codon, and T loops). Lineage: Eukaryota; Metazoa; Chordata; Mammalia; Rodentia; Sciuridae. RNAcentral also lists the same sequence under 1 other name. The record is from Rfam by way of RNAcentral.